UAAUUUGCAAUUUUCUUCCGGUAGCGGUUAUGAGACAUCGCGAAGUUUGUUGAUCGUUAGCUUGAAUAUAAACGUGAAAAAUGUGAGUAUUUUAUUGACGAAGAUAAUUAAGACUGGAUGAAGGCGAAAUCGUAAUAAUGGCUUAAGAUCGCGGACAGUUUGAAGGGGCUCACCCGGAAUGGACAGCCUAUAUAAAUAUCCCCUCCAGGGGACGAGAAGACUCGGUGCAAACGAGUGAUCCAGGAGAAAGCCUCUCAUUCGAUUGGCCCCACGAACCGGUAUAACCGAGACAAUUCCAGAUUAUUUGCAGACAGAAAGCAAGUCAGCCAUUCUGCUCGCCGAACUCGAUUUGUGCACGAAUUCGACGCAAGCAACGCGAUGUAUCGAUUACACGUUGCGAUCUAAUGGGUCACGAAACACUAUCGAACUAUAAAUACUUAGCUAUAAUCGAUAUCAAUUGAUGUGCUCGUCGAUCAGGAAGAUUUAAUCGAAACUCAUAGUGGCUGCUGGUUUGGCGAAUCCUCUAUACAUUCGAAAGCAAAAACGAAACAUUAGUGAAAGGAAAGCUAUUAAACUUUAAACUACAGAGAGAAGCACUCAUACGAUCCUAGUAAUAAUUCAACGUGGUUAAAUACCAAUCAGGAAAAUUUAGCAACGACCGGUUUAUCGGAUCGUUCUAAACGUAAAACUGUUCUUCGAACUUCUAGAGCAGAAAAGAAAAUUGCCUGUAUAUACCGGUGCGUAGACUCAUUGCUAGUUAAGCAUCUUUAAUGUAAACUUUACAAACAACAUUUUAUUAAUGUCUAAUUAUGCGCGAAAACAUCGUUCGAACUGCAAUAAAAUCCUAAUUGUUUUCUAAUCUUACACAUUUUCUUCCAUAUUUGCCGUACAGAUAUUACAGAAACUAUUUUGGUUACCUACUUUCUACAUAGACUUAACCUUUCUUACGUUUUUGCAUACUAAUCAUUCAUACUAAAAGAUCCCAAAUAUAGAAGAAUAUUUUUUUCAACUUCCUACA
Long non-coding RNA from Bombus impatiens (common eastern bumble bee), 1018 nucleotides. RefSeq lists it as uncharacterized. The record is from RefSeq and is a predicted model, not a curated record. The transcript is spliced from 4 exons. Lineage: Eukaryota; Metazoa; Arthropoda; Insecta; Hymenoptera; Apidae.